Long non-coding RNA from Platichthys flesus (European flounder), 2755 nucleotides. RefSeq lists it as uncharacterized. The transcript is spliced from 2 exons. Lineage: Eukaryota; Metazoa; Chordata; Actinopteri; Pleuronectiformes; Pleuronectidae. The record is from RefSeq and is a predicted model, not a curated record.
UCUCGCAUCGUGGUUGAAGUCCUCUCACUCGCCGGGUGUGUAUGACCGUCAGCACAGGGUCAAGUCUCAGCGAGUUUCGUUUCUGACUCUGCCUUCAGCUUGGAGAAAGCCACCUGUCGCUCUUCGCUGCAACGACACUUCUGCCUUGCGGACAGGAUUACGGUAAGCGUGCUGCGUCAUUUCCUGUUUUCUUGCCACUGGUGGUGGUCGCUCUGCGAAUUAGCUCCGCUGCAAAACACAACUGUUUCCCUGUAGCACUACGGCUAAAAUCACCGGUCUGUAGUUAAACACUCGCACAUACCAACCCUUAUUCUAUCGUGCUUAGUGAUUCUGUGUUCUGUCUGAGCUCACCUUCGUAGCUAUAUAGCAGCGAUGUCUUCUCUCUCUCCCUGUUGCUCUACUGCUCUCUCUUACUCCGAGUGUCUAAUGUUUACCUACUCCUCUGCCUCCCUUAACAGUAGUGGUACAUGUAAUAAAUGUAGUGUGUUGAUAGCGAUGGAGGCUCGGCUUAGCGACUUAGAAGCUCGGCUCAGCAGCUUAGAAACUCCGUUAGCUGUAGUUAGCCGGCUCCCGCUAGCCGCGGAGCCACCUAGCUUAGCACGUAGCUUAGCCUUAACGAGCAGUCCCCAGACUAGUCCCGUGCAGCCGGGAGCCCAGGGCAGAUGGGUGACGUUCCAGAGGGGGCAUAGUGCUAGUCUUAGAAAGCCCACGAUUAAAGAGCCACCAGCUCACGUUUCAAAUAGAUUCUCUCCACUCAGCGAGGCACCCGCUGAUAAACAAACUCUGAUUAUUGGCGACUCGGUUCUGAGAAACGUCAGGUUAGCGACACCAGCGACCAUAGUUAAUUGUAUCCCAGGGGCCAGAGCCGGCGACAUCGAAUCUAAACUUAAGUUAAUGGCCAAAUCUAAAAAAGGUAAAUACAAUAAAAUCGUAAUUCACGUCGGCAGCAACGACUCCCGGCUUCGUAUGUCGGAGGUCACUAAAUUGAAUGUUGAGUCGGUGUGUGCUUUUGCUAAAACGAUGUCGGACACAGUAGUUUUCUCUGGCCCGCUCCCUAAUACAACAGGUGAUGACAUGUUUAGCCGCAUGUUGUCUUUUAACCGCUGGCUGUCGAGGUGGUGUCCUGUAAACGGCGUGGGCUUUAUAGAUAAUUGGCUAACUUUUUUGAGAAAACCUGGUCUUGUUAGGAGAGACGGCGUUCAUCCCACUUGGGAUGGAGCAGCUCUCUUAUCUAGGAAUAUUACUAAGUCUAUAACAUGACAACCCAUAGUUGGGACCAGGAAUCAGAGCUGCAGUGCUAAACACUUCUCUGCGCUCCCUCUGGAUCAGUCACAAAACCCCAUAGAACGUUACUUGUUCUAUUUUAUGACACAUGACACACGGAGCUUCUCUUUCCAGCUUCUCCAUCCUCUUCUCCAUCCCUAUCCCCCUUCCCCGGAAUCCCUUUGCUUUAUCACCCGCAGAUCCAGGGCCUCUGUGGCCGCACCAUGGAUUACGGUUUGUGGAUCGCGCACCGGGGGUCGCGGUGUUGGAUCCAGUGUGGCGGAUUCUGAGUCAUGUGGGCUGAUCGUGGUGCUGGUGGCGGACCCUGUGUCGCGUUGCCAUUGGGCACGGGCGGUGGACCAGGACCGCAGUGGUGGCUUGUGAUGGGUCCUCCUGGUGGGCGGCGGUGGACGGUGACUGAGGACUGAAGUGGCGUCUGGUCUGGAUGGUGGAUCGUGGUCUAGAUGGUUGCUGAGCAUGGACUGUGCUUCAUCAAUGCUGCUAGAGACUUUGAUUAUUGAUGAUGUUCUCCUGCACGUGGCAUCUAUUGCACUUCUGUCCGUCCUGGGAGAGGGAUCCCUCACAUGUGGCUCUCUCUGAGGUUUCUACAUAUUUUUACCCUGUUAAAAAGGGUUUUUUGUAGUUUUUCCUUACUCUUGCUGAGGGUUAAGGACAGAGGAUGUCACACCCUGUUAAAGCCCUAUGAGAUGAAUUGUAAUUUGUGAAUAUGGGCUAUACAAAUAAAAUUUGAUUGAUUGAUUGAUUGAUGUCUUCAAGUACAUUGAAAUUAGUAAAUAUUGAAGAAUUUGUUGGAAGUGAACUAUAUUAUUGAUUGUUAAAAUGUCCAUGAAUGUGGAAAUCCCUUCUAUUGCUUUACUUUUACUUCCUGUUUCUGUCAUUAAAUGUUAGAAAGCAUUUCACAUAGCAAUUGUUGGGACGAUGACUAAGGUAAAUUAAUUGGUAGCAAAAUAACUGUCUUUUUCUGGUGAACUCACAUAGCAAUACUACCUAUAACCACUAGAUAGCAAUACAGUACAAAUAUUUCCCCUUCAGCUACAUACGGCACAUACUAUGCUAGGCCUAUUUGUGGAAUGUUGCUUCAGGGGUCUUCAUAGACAACAUUAUGUUGGCUCUACGAUGAUUAUGAUCAAUCCACUGUUGUCAUCAGUUUACCUUCAAAUUCCUUUGAACAUGGAGAGAGAAAUCUGCUUUACCAUUAAUAAAGAGGUGGACUACAUAUAAGUAAAACACAUUAGAAGUAUUCAUUUACAUUAUUGUUGUUUGUUGUUUUUUUAGUACUAGCACUGGCCCAAUAAUACGAAAAUAUGUAGUAUCUAGUGCUAGUAACUUCCAUGAAGUGAACAUUCAUAUGAAACUAAAUAUAACUGAAACAUGACAAUGUAAUGGUAUGAUUGUAAACAUGACAACUAACAGUACAUAAUAGUUAAUAUAAAUGCAAAUAAUAAAGGGGCUGUGUAUUAAAAUUCUUCAA